Molecule: ribosomal RNA, 440 nt
Filed under: uncultured bacterium
Lineage: Bacteria
Description: partial 16S ribosomal RNA
Rfam family: Bacterial small subunit ribosomal RNA
Source: RNAcentral
CUACGGGCUGCUCCAGUGAGGAAUAUUGCACAAUGGGGGGAACCCUGAUGCAGCAACGCCGCGUGGAGGAUGACGCAUUUCGGUGUGUAAACUCCUUUUAUAUGUCAAGAAAAUGACGGUAGCAUAUGAAUAAGCACCGGCUAACUCCGUGCCAGCAGCCGCGGUGAAUACGGAGGGUGCAAGCGUUACUCGGAAUCACUGGGCGUAAAGGACGCGUAGGCGGGUUGGAAAGUCAGGUGUGAAAUCCUACAGCUUAACUGUAGAACUGCACUUGAAACUUCUAAUCUAGAGUAUGGGAGGGGGAGAUGGAAUUAGUGGUGUAGGGGUAAAAUCCGUAGAUAUCACUAGGAAUACCUAAAGCGAAGGCGAUCUCCUGGAACAUUACUGGCGCUAAGGCGUGAAAGCGUGGGGAGCAAGCAGGAUUAGAUACCCUCGUAGUC